CUGCAGCUGUGCAACAAGCUGGUGGCACUGCUGGCCACGCUGGAGGAGCCCCAGGAGGGCUUGGAGGUUGCCCACAUGGCCCUAGCACUCAGCAUCACUCUGGAUGGGAAAGUGAGUCUGGGAACCCAGAAGGGACUGGCCAGAGCUGCCCAGGUGACCACAGGUGCCUGGAGGCAAGCCAGGUGCUGCUCGGGGUCUGCAUACCUGCUCCUGAGGGGCCUGUGCCCUGACUGCCCCAGGGAGCCACGUCCUCACACCUGCCCCUUUGGCCUGCACCCCAGGGGACCGGCUGAAUAAGCACGUGGCCUACCACCGGCUGGCUGCCCUGCACCACCAGCUGGGCCAUGGCAAGCUGGUGGAGCACUUCUGCCUCAAGGCCCUGUAGCUCUGCAACUCACCGCCGGAGUUUGACGAGGAGACCCUCUACUACGUGAAGGUGUACCUGGUGCUUGGUGCCAUCAUCUUCUAUGACCUGAAGGUCGGUGGGAAGGGGCAGGGCUCGGGGUGUUUCCAGCCCCCUUGGAGUGGGAUCUCCACCCAGACCCCAGGGGCCUGGGUUCCAGCCUUCCUUAGGAAUGGCCCGGUGGCCUCCCUGGAGCUCUGCACAUGGCUGGAGGAACCAGCAAGGUUCGCAGAUACAACCCAGCUCCCAAGCUGGCCAGGCCCCACCCUCAAGAACUCAGUCUCAGCCAGGGAGGCUGACACAUGAGCGGGCAAUGGUGGCCUCUGGGUAAAGAAGGGGGAUUGUAGUCAGGGGGGCCCUCCUGGAGGAGGUGACACCAAACUGAGUCUUGACAGUCAAGUGUCAAGUUGCAUUUAAGAAAACAGGGUCAGGAGAAGGACAUUUUGGAGGAUGGCAUCAUCCUCACAUUGAAUCCACAUUGCAAGAUCCAACUCAAAUCCUAGUGCCUCCUCUAGGAAGCCUGCCCAGGGUGCCAGCCUGCACUGAGCAACUCCUUCCUGGAGUCCCGAGACACCUUGAAUCUUCACAUUACCCAGGAAGGGUCCCACGGGUGGGACCCGUGUCUUACCAUCCGCUUCACAGACAGGGGAACCCCAGCUCACGGCAGGUGCAGUGGGGCGGGGCCCCAGCCAGCCAGGCUGAGACCUUGCUGGGUCAGGUCUGUCUCAAGGGGAGGUGCUGUGCUCUCUGCCCCCCGCCCUGCAGGGAUGGAGAGCUGGGACUGGCAGACUCAGACCUGGGGUGCCUCCA
This 1213-nucleotide long non-coding RNA is filed under the name Piliocolobus tephrosceles (Ugandan red Colobus). RNAcentral's name for it is "lncRNA (ENSPTEG00000035000.1)". The record is from RNAcentral. Lineage: Eukaryota; Metazoa; Chordata; Mammalia; Primates; Cercopithecidae.